CGCGUAGGCGGUUUAUGCAGUCAGAUGUGAAAGCCUUCGGCUUAACCGGAGAAGUGCAUCGGAAACUGGAUAACUUGAGUGCAGAAGAGGGUAGUGGAACUCCAUGUGUAGCGGUGGAAUGCGUAGAUAUAUGGAAGAACACCAGUGGCGAAGGCGGCUACCUGGUCUGCAACUGACGCUGAGCUCGAAGCAUGGGUAGCGAACA
RNAcentral lists this ribosomal RNA (205 nucleotides) under uncultured bacterium. RNAcentral's name for it is "partial 16S ribosomal RNA". It matches the Rfam family "Bacterial small subunit ribosomal RNA", at positions 568 to 774 of the family's 1533-position model. The record is from RNAcentral.